RNAcentral lists this transfer RNA (93 nucleotides) under Fusarium pseudograminearum CS3220. Lineage: Eukaryota; Fungi; Ascomycota; Sordariomycetes; Hypocreales; Nectriaceae. The record is from RNAcentral. RNAcentral also lists the same sequence under 1 other name.
AGGGUCUGGCCGGGGAUUGAACCCGGGACCUCUCGCAAGCUAUGCUAUAGGGUUUUCCCUAAGCGAGAAUCAUACCACUAGACCACCAGACCC